Molecule: ribosomal RNA, 253 nt
Filed under: uncultured bacterium
Lineage: Bacteria
Description: partial 16S ribosomal RNA
Rfam family: Bacterial small subunit ribosomal RNA
Source: RNAcentral
UACGGAGGGUGCGAGCGUUGUCCGGAAUCACUGGGCGUAAAGGGCGCGUAGGCGGCCUGAUAAGUAGGGGGUGAAAUCUUGCGGCUUAACCGCAAGGCUGCCUUCUAAACUGUCAGGCUAGAGCACAGUAGAGGCAGGUGGAAUUCCCGGUGUAGCGGUGGAAUGCGUAGAGAUCGGGAGGAACACCUGUGGUGUAGACAGCUUACUGGACCACUUCUGACGCUGAGGAGCGAAAGCCAGGGGAGCAAACGGG